UACGGAGGGUGCAAGCGUUAAUCGGAAUUACUGGGCGUAAAGCGUGCGCAGGCGGUUUGUUAAGUCCGUUGUGAAAGCCCCGAGCUCAACUUGGGAAUUGCAGUGGAUACUGGCAGGCUGGAGUACGGUAGAGGAAGGUGGAAUUCCCGGUGUAGCAGUGAAAUGCGUAGAUAUCGGGAGGAACACCAGUGGCGAAGGCGACUAUCUGGGCUGAAACUGACGCUGAGGCGCGAAGGCUAGGGGAGCAAACAGG
This 253-nucleotide ribosomal RNA is filed under the name uncultured bacterium. RNAcentral's name for it is "partial 16S ribosomal RNA". It matches the Rfam family "Bacterial small subunit ribosomal RNA", at positions 524 to 776 of the family's 1533-position model. The record is from RNAcentral.